Molecule: ribosomal RNA, 253 nt
Filed under: uncultured bacterium
Lineage: Bacteria
Description: partial 16S ribosomal RNA
Rfam family: Bacterial small subunit ribosomal RNA
Source: RNAcentral
UACGUAGGGAGCAAGCGUUGUCCGGAAUCAUUGGGCGUAAAGCGCGCGUAGGCGGCCCCGUAAGUCCGCUGUGAAAGUCAAAGGCUCAACCUUUGAAAGCCGGUGGAAACUGUGGGGCUAGAGUCCGGAAGAGGCGAGUGGAAUUCCUGGUGUAGCGGUGGAAUGCGCAGAUAUCAGGAGGAACACCUGUGGCGAAAGCGGCGCACUGGACCACAACUGACGCUGAGGAGCGAAAGCGUGGGGAGCGAACAGG